Molecule: ribosomal RNA, 348 nt
Filed under: uncultured Helicobacter sp.
Lineage: Bacteria; Pseudomonadati; Campylobacterota; Epsilonproteobacteria; Campylobacterales; Helicobacteraceae
Description: bacterial SSU rRNA
Rfam family: Bacterial small subunit ribosomal RNA
Source: RNAcentral
AAGUGGAUUAGUGGCGCACGGGUGAGUAACGCAUAGGUUAUGUGCCCCAUAGUCUGGGACAGCCACUGGAAACGGUGAUUAAUACUGGAUACUCCCUACGGGGGAAAGUUUUUCGCUAUGGGAUCAGCCUAUGUCCUAUCAGCUUGUUGGUGAGGUAAUGGCUCACCAAGGCUAUGACGGGUAUCCGGCCUGAGAGGGUGAUCGGACACACUGGAACUGAGACACGGUCCAGACUCCUACGGGAGGCAGCAGUAGGGAAUAUUGCUCAAUGGGCGAAAGCCUGAAGCAGCAACGCCGCGUGGAGGAUGAAGGUUUUAGGAUUGUAAACUCCUUUUCUAAGAGAAGAUA